Molecule: long non-coding RNA, 671 nt
Filed under: Betta splendens (Siamese fighting fish)
Lineage: Eukaryota; Metazoa; Chordata; Actinopteri; Anabantiformes; Osphronemidae
Description: lncRNA (ENSBSLG00000009060.1)
Source: RNAcentral
AUGAAAAUGCAGAUCGAUCACAGGCUACCUCUACUGCUGGAGACCUGCUGUACAAGAUUUCAUUUCCAAAGGCAAAGAGGGGCGAAUGUGUUGCUAAACCACUCAAAGCAGCACCGACGUUUUAUUACGUUGAAAAUAAUCUGCUUGACACUAUCUUCGAGAAAGUCCUGCUGGACCUGGGAAGGUAUAUGGAGGAACUUUGGAACAUUCCGGUCCCAGCGCCCCAUUGUGCAGAUUUUGAGCGGCCUGACAGAAGGGAGGUCAUCGAUGCUAUGGUUUCACGAUUCAACAACCCACAGCAAAGCUAGGUUGAAAACUGACUUCACACCCUAUUACGGCUAUUCCUUUUUUUGCCAUUUGUUAUAUAAACUAUAGAAAGUUGUAACCUAAAUAUGACACAAGAGACACUUCAGUAAUGUACCAUUUUGUUUCCUACCUUCUACAGUGAUGCUAUGAAGAAGACCUGGAGACUUAAUCUGCUAGAGCUUCUGCACAGCUUCCGAGUGUGAUGAGAACAACAAAAAACAUGACAUCUCCCCAACCAUCUAUGGUCUUUUUAGCUUACUUCUACCAGGCUCUACAAACGUUCCUUUCAUUAGUCCAUCAGAAUGCCCCCCUCACUCACCAACUUGGACAAUAAACAUUGGACUGUUCUGAUAGGACUUAGAAAG